ACUUACUGCGUUAGCUGCGGCACGGAGGGUUUAACCCCUCCACACUUAGUACCCAUCGUUUAGGGCGUGGACUACCAGGGUAUCUAAUCCUGUUUGCUCCCCACGCUUUCGUCUCUCAGUGUCAGGACUGUUCCAGGAAGCCGCCUUCGCCACCGGCCUUCCUUCUGAUAUCUACGCAUUUCACCGCUACACCAGAAAUUCCGCUUCCCUCUCCCAGCCUCCAGCCUGCCAGUCUCUUUGGCAUUCCCAUAGUUAAGCUACGGCCUUUCACCAAAGACUUGACAAACCACCUACAGACUCUUUACGCCCAGUAAUUCCGAACAACGCUUGCCACCUCUGUCUUACCGCGGCUGCUGGCACAGAGUUAGCCGUGGCUUAUUCUCACGGUACCGUCAUCGGGGAUAUUUAUUUGAUAUCCCUUUUUCGUCCCGAGUAAAAGU
RNAcentral lists this ribosomal RNA (440 nucleotides) under uncultured Leptospirillum sp. RNAcentral's name for it is "partial 16S ribosomal RNA". The record is from RNAcentral. Lineage: Bacteria; Pseudomonadati; Nitrospirota; Nitrospiria; Nitrospirales; Nitrospiraceae.